RNAcentral lists this unclassified non-coding RNA (378 nucleotides) under plant metagenome. Its description in RNAcentral is "partial contains 5.8S ribosomal RNA, internal transcribed spacer 2, and large subunit ribosomal RNA". The stretch from base 1 to 105 matches the Rfam family "5.8S ribosomal RNA", at positions 50 to 154 of the family's 154-position model. The record is from RNAcentral.
GAAAUGCGAUAAGUAAUGUGAAUUGCAGAAUUCAGUGAAUCAUCGAAUCUUUGAACGCACCUUGCGCUCCUUGGUAUUCCUUGGAGCAUGCCUGUUUGAGUAUCAUGAAAUCUUCAAAGUAAAUCUUUUGUUAACUCAAUUGGUUUCUACUUUGGUAUUGGAGGUCUUUGCAGCUUCACACCUGCUCCUCUUUGUUCAUUAGCUGGAUCUCAGUGUUAUGCUUGGUUCCACUCGGCGUGAUAAGUUAUCUAUCGCUGAGGACACUGUAAAAGGUGGCCAAGGUAAAUGCAGAUGAACCGCUUCUCAUAGUCCAUUGACUUGGACAAUACUUUUAUGAUCUGAUCUCAAAUCAGGUAGGACUACCCGCUGAACUUAAGC